GGAGAAAUUCCAAUCGAACCUGGAGAUAGCUGGUUCUCUCCGAAAUAGCUUUAGGGCUAGCCUCAAGUGAUGAUUAUUGGAGGUAGAGCACUGUUUGGACGAGGGGCCCCUCUCGGGUUACCGAAUUCAGACAAACUCCGAAUGCCAAUUAAUUUAACUUGGGAGUCAGAACAUGGGUGAUAAGGUCCGUGUUCGAAAGGGAAACAGCCCAGACCACCAGCUAAGGUCCCAAAAUAUAUGUUAAGUGGAAAAGGAUGUGGCGUUGCCCAGACAACUAGGAUGUUGGCUUAGAAGCAGCCAUCAUUUAAAGAGUGCGUAAUAGCUCACUAGUCGAGUGACACUGCGCCGAAAAUGUACCGGGGCUAAACAUAUUACCGAAGCUGUGGAUUGUCCUUUGGACAAUGGUAGGAGAGCGUUCUAAGGGCGUUGAAGCAUGAUCGUAAGGACAUGUGGAGCGCUUAGAAGUGAGAAUGCCGGUGUGAGUAGCGAAAGACGGGUGAGAAUCCCGUCCACCGAUUGACUAAGGUUUCCAGAGGAAGGCUCGUCCGCUCUGGGUUAGUCGGGUCCUAAGCUGAGGCCGACAGGCGUAGGCGAUGGAUAACAGGUUGAUAUUCCUGUACCACCUAUAAUCGUUUUAAUCGAUGGGGGGACGCAGUAGGAUAGGCGAAGCGUGCGAUUGGAUUGCACGUCUAAGCAGUAAGGCUGAGUAUUAGGCA
This 716-nucleotide ribosomal RNA is filed under the name Staphylococcus aureus. Its description in RNAcentral is "partial 23S ribosomal RNA". It matches the Rfam family "Bacterial large subunit ribosomal RNA", at positions 819 to 1538 of the family's 2925-position model. Lineage: Bacteria; Bacillati; Bacillota; Bacilli; Caryophanales; Staphylococcaceae. The record is from RNAcentral.